UACGUAGGUGGCAAGCGUUGUCCGGAAUUAUUGGGCGUAAAGCGCGCGCAGGCGGUCCUUUAAGUCUGAUGUGAAAGCCCACGGCUCAACCGUGGAGGGUCAUUGGAAACUGGGGGACUUGAGUGCAGGAGAGAAGAGUGGAAUUCCACGUGUAGCGGUGAAAUGCGUAGAUAUCAGGAGGAACACCGGUGGCGAAGGCGGCCCUCUGGACGGAUACUGACGCUGAGACGCGACAGCGUGGGGAGCAAACAGG
Molecule: ribosomal RNA, 253 nt
Filed under: uncultured bacterium
Lineage: Bacteria
Description: partial 16S ribosomal RNA
Rfam family: Bacterial small subunit ribosomal RNA
Source: RNAcentral